Zootoca vivipara (common lizard) is the source of this 117-nucleotide small nuclear RNA. RefSeq annotates it as U5 spliceosomal RNA. The record is from RefSeq and is a predicted model, not a curated record. NCBI's taxonomy places the organism in Eukaryota, Metazoa, Chordata, Lepidosauria, Squamata, Lacertidae.
ACGAUCUGGUUUCUCUUCAGAUCGUAUAAAUCUUUUGCCUUUUACUAAAGAUUUCCGUGGAGAGGAACAUUUAUGAGUUUAUAACUAAUUUUUGAGAGCCAGUGUGGUGUAGUGGUU